Mercurialis annua (annual mercury) is the source of this 794-nucleotide long non-coding RNA. RefSeq lists it as uncharacterized. NCBI's taxonomy places the organism in Eukaryota, Viridiplantae, Streptophyta, Magnoliopsida, Malpighiales, Euphorbiaceae. The record is from RefSeq and is a predicted model, not a curated record. The transcript is spliced from 2 exons.
ACAUAACGCGUAAACUGCCAUUUGCUGCAAAUGUUGCCAACUAAUAAUUAGCCGAUUUUCAUGACAAAUUCAUUUUCAGUUUUUCACAUUAAUCUGCUGCAUUUGAUGAACUACCCAUUUUGUAUUUAAAUACUGAAUCAAAUCAUUACAACUUACUUGGCAUCUCUUGCCAUGAAAAGGUGGCUUCCUAAGUGGAUUCAACGGAGGUACUGAUGACGACGACGAUGAAGAUGAAGAUAACUGAUCUCUACCGUAAAAACUACUUGAAGGGGCCGUAGCAUAAUUGUUGAAUCCAUAACUCGAGCCACCCGGGAGAAAAUCUGGAUACUGAAACUGAUUUGACGAAGCUGCUGCUGCUUGUUGCUGAGAUAAUAGUGAAGGGCGCGGCGGAGGAGGAGGAGCAUUGAUAUUGAGUCGGGGGGCAUUAAGUUGCCCGCGAUUAUUAGUUAAGUAACCUAAUUCGGAUCGGCCUUGAACUCUUUCGGGGAAGUUCAGUUUAGCUUUGCUUCCUUUAAACCUAAGGGCUGCUUCGUCAUAAGCAAGUGCUGCGGCUUCAGCAGUAUCGAAGGUGCCCAGCCAUACUCUCGCAGCCUUGUUAGGGUCUCUGAUCUCUGCUGCCCAUUUUCCCCAUGGUCUUUGUCUCACUCCCCUAUAGUGUCUCCUCCUUACAUUUCCUACAAAAUUCAUAUUUAAACACUGAUUAAUCAUACAAAUCAUGUCAUGUCUCGAACAAAUUAAUGAGACCUUUGCGGUGUUAAAAUAUCUAAUGAUAAUAAAUAAAAAAUAAUUGAAUA